GUCGCGUCUGUAUACUACACUCAGGUCGGCCCCGUUUCUACAAGACGCUCGCGUUACAACCCCCUGGACAUGACGGUGUGUUACAAUCCCCCUAUUAGGAGACCUGUGUCUAUGAACCGAUAAUCUCACGUUUAACCUCUCCACUUCGUAUUUUUAACCAACCUAUAUACCGGCGUCGCCAGCUUACCCUGUUAAGGGAAAGAAGUGUGCACGAUGGGCACAGCCCAAAACGUGAGGUGCGAGGUGUGGCACAUGAAGUGGGAAAAAAUGGGCUAUAUUUUCUACUCCAGAUAAUUACAAAAGGAUACUGUGAAAUACAUACCUGAAGGGGGAUUUAAAAGUAAAAAGGAAGCUGAGGGUCCUUUUGAACCCGGGUCUAAAAACCCUACACCCC
RNAcentral lists this ribosomal RNA (394 nucleotides) under Barilius bendelisis (Hamilton's barila). Its description in RNAcentral is "partial 12S ribosomal RNA". Lineage: Eukaryota; Metazoa; Chordata; Actinopteri; Cypriniformes; Danionidae. The record is from RNAcentral.